Molecule: ribosomal RNA, 345 nt
Filed under: Triticum aestivum (bread wheat)
Lineage: Eukaryota; Viridiplantae; Streptophyta; Magnoliopsida; Poales; Poaceae
Description: partial small subunit ribosomal RNA
Source: RNAcentral
AUGUUCAGGCAUACCAGUUUUGCUCUGUUAGGAUGUUCAGUGGUGACUGUAAAUGAUUAUUUGGCACAGCGAGAUGCUGAAUGGAUGGGCCGCGUUCAUUGUUUUCUUGGCCUAACUGUCGGUCUAAUUGAGGCGGGUAUGAAGUCUGAUGAGAGGAGAGCCAACUAUAUGUGUGACAUUGGGUACACUAAUAACUCAGUAAGAUGCUUAGUAGAACAACUACUUUUAGAUAGUUCUAUAGUGGCUAUUCUUCUGAGGACCUUUCUUCUUCUUGCAACUUGGUAUUAUAUGUUAAAGUUGUCUUCAUUUCAGAUUAGAAGUAAUAAUAAAAUAAGUUGUGUUUGA